AACCAUAGAAACCUGCGGAGUACCUGCGGAGGGAUCAUCACAGUGUGUGGUGUCUCUACACCAAUCUUGUGUGAACUGUUGUGUGUGUUGGUGUGUGAUGUGCUGUGGCACUCCCACCACCACAAAUAUCACCUUCAAUCUUUGUCUAACAUGUACCCACAAUCUAAACAACUUUCAACAAUGGAUCU
RNAcentral lists this unclassified non-coding RNA (188 nucleotides) under soil metagenome. RNAcentral's name for it is "partial contains 5.8S ribosomal RNA, internal transcribed spacer 2, and large subunit ribosomal RNA". The record is from RNAcentral.